Molecule: small nucleolar RNA, 77 nt
Organism: Colobus angolensis palliatus
Lineage: Eukaryota; Metazoa; Chordata; Mammalia; Primates; Cercopithecidae
Gene: SNORD83
Rfam family: Small nucleolar RNA SNORD83
About the family: U83 (SNORD83) and U84 (SNORD84) are members of the C/D class of snoRNA which contain the C (UGAUGA) and D (CUGA) box motifs. They act as guanine methylation guides but lack complementarity to ribosomal RNA.
Source: Ensembl
GCCAAAUGAUGCUUAUUUGACUCUGGUGCACUUCAGUGUAAGGAUGAUUCAUAAUCUGUCACUCAUGAUUGAUGGCC